AGUCCUCUGGCACUCUCCCUGACUCCAGUGAUUCCUGAAAGAUCAGCAUCAUUGCCUCUACAAUCUCUUCAGCUGUUGCCUUUUUGAACUCUGGGGUGUAGUCCAUCUGUUCCAGUUGGAAACAGACCUACGAAAUGUUCGGGGAUGUUUCACUGCACAAAGACACUGGAAGGUCCCUUCCUUUUCUGUGGGACCAAACCAAAGUGUUCCACAGCCGACAAGAAUUCACUUUGAUUCUCCUCAGUGUUCCUGUUAUUCUGUGGGCUGCUCGGAAGCAUCCAGCUGGAUGACCCUCCAAUUCUAAGUGUCUUGAGAUUAUGGACCACCCGACUGAGAUAUGCACCUCACUAGUUUCUUGCUCAAUGCCUCCAAAAAUCAGAAAAAUCUUUGGUUUGCUGCUGAUUUAAAGUUUCUGGUAAAUUCUUUAUCAUUGUGUAAUAAAAUUCCUUCUGUGAUUGUCUGUCUGUUUUUGAAAGAAAAAGUAUCAAAUAAACCAUAAAGCAGCUUGUCUGUCUUAAAUUGGGGAUUAAACAUGUUGUAACAGUAUGUUAGCCUUGUUUCAUUGCUAUAUUAAAAAGAAACUUAGUUUGCAAAGUCAUGUCUUUGGUAACUUGUGCAGAGUGCCUCAAAACCAGAAAUGAAAUGUCUGAAAAGUGUUAGUUCAUCACCUAAAUAUAGUUUCCAGUAAUAAACUAAGUUCAG
Stegostoma tigrinum is the source of this 702-nucleotide long non-coding RNA. RefSeq lists it as uncharacterized. The record is from RefSeq and is a predicted model, not a curated record. The transcript is spliced from 3 exons. NCBI's taxonomy places the organism in Eukaryota, Metazoa, Chordata, Chondrichthyes, Orectolobiformes, Stegostomatidae.